GAUGAACGCUGGCGGCGUGCCUAAUACAUGCAAGUCGAGCGAACAGACGAGGAGCUUGCUCCUCUGACGUUAGCGGCGGACGGGUGAGUAACACGUGGAUAACCUACCUAUAAGACUGGGAUAACUUCGGGAAACCGGAGCUAAUACCGGAUAAUAUAUUGAACCGCAUGGUUCAAUAGUGAAAGACGGUUUUGCUGUCACUUAUAGAUGGAUCCGCGCCGCAUUAGCUAGUUGGUAAGGUAACGGCUUACCAAGGCGACGAUGCGUAGCCGACCUGAGAGGGUGAUCGGCCACACUGGAACUGGGACACGGUCCAGACUCCUGCGGGAGGCAGCAGUAGGGAAUCUUCCGCAAUGGGCGAAAGCCUGACGGAGCAACGCCGCGUGAGUGAUGAAGGUCUUCGGAUCGUAAAACUCUGUUAUGAGGGAAGAACAAAUGUGUAAGUAACUAUGCACGUCUUGACGGUACCUAAUCAGAAAGCCACGGCUAACUACGUG
This 497-nucleotide ribosomal RNA is filed under the name uncultured bacterium. RNAcentral describes it as "partial 16S ribosomal RNA". It matches the Rfam family "Bacterial small subunit ribosomal RNA", at positions 28 to 507 of the family's 1533-position model. The record is from RNAcentral.